UUUUGGAUCACUGUUAUUAAGU
Molecule: microRNA, 22 nt
Filed under: Oreochromis niloticus (Nile tilapia)
Lineage: Eukaryota; Metazoa; Chordata; Actinopteri; Cichliformes; Cichlidae
Description: oni-miR-10774
Source: miRBase by way of RNAcentral